RNAcentral lists this ribosomal RNA (253 nucleotides) under uncultured bacterium. RNAcentral describes it as "partial 16S ribosomal RNA". It matches the Rfam family "Bacterial small subunit ribosomal RNA", at positions 524 to 776 of the family's 1533-position model. The record is from RNAcentral.
UACAGAGGUCUCGAGCGUUAGGCGGAAUCACUGGGCUUAAAGCGUGUGUGGGCGGAUCGUUAAGUACCUUGUGAAAUCCCACGGCUUAACCGUGGAAUUGCUGGGUAUACUGGCGGUCUUGAGCCACUUAGGGGCUACCGGAACAAAUGGUGGAGCGGUGAAAUGCGUAGAUAUCAUUUGGAACGCCAAUGGUGAAAACAGGUAGCUGGGAGUGUGCUGACGCUGAGACACGAAAGCCAGGGGAGCAAACGGG